RNAcentral lists this transfer RNA (52 nucleotides) under Festuca myuros. RNAcentral's name for it is "partial tRNA-Phe". Lineage: Eukaryota; Viridiplantae; Streptophyta; Magnoliopsida; Poales; Poaceae. The record is from RNAcentral.
GUCAGGAUAGCUCAGGUUGGUAGAGCAGAGGACUGAAAAUCCUCGUGUCACC